Molecule: unclassified non-coding RNA, 224 nt
Filed under: uncultured fungus
Lineage: Eukaryota; Fungi
Description: sequence contains ITS1
Source: RNAcentral
CGCAAGGAUAAGCUGCUCUCGCCCUGAUAGUUGCGCGGGAUCUGCCUCACGCGAUGGCCGCGCUUAUCGACUUUGGUGCGCGCCUUAGCAGAAGAGAUACAUCUCGCGGCACAAUUGCACAGAUUGUAACUAUUACAUCCUCAUCGCAUUCGCAUGGUCGAAUUCACCUGUGCGCGUUUAACAACUGAUUGAUUACUGUGGGGUGGCAUUCGCAUUGUUGCGUG